GAGCUCCUACGGGAGGCAGCAGUGAGGAAUAUUGGUCAAUGGGAGAGAUCCUGAACCAGCCAAGCCGCGUGAGGGAAGACGGCCCUAUGGGUUGUAAACCUCUUUUGUCGGAGAACAAAACCCGGGACGUGUCCCGGACUGCGUGUAUCCGAAGAAAAAGCAUCGGCUAACUCCGUGCCAGCAGCCGCGGUAAUACGGAGGAUGCGAGCGUUAUCCGGAUUUAUUGGGUUUAAAGGGGGCGUAGGCGGUCCGUUAAGUCAGCGGUAAAAUUGCGGAGCGCAACCCCG
This 287-nucleotide ribosomal RNA is filed under the name uncultured bacterium. Its description in RNAcentral is "partial 16S ribosomal RNA". It matches the Rfam family "Bacterial small subunit ribosomal RNA", at positions 333 to 617 of the family's 1533-position model. The record is from RNAcentral.